This 72-nucleotide transfer RNA is filed under the name Candidatus Pacearchaeota archaeon. RNAcentral's name for it is "tRNA-Asp". It matches the Rfam family "tRNA". Rfam says of the family: Transfer RNA (tRNA) molecules are approximately 80 nucleotides in length. Their secondary structure includes four short double-helical elements and three loops (D, anti-codon, and T loops). Further hydrogen bonds mediate the characteristic L-shaped molecular structure. tRNAs have two regions of fundamental functional importance: the anti-codon, which is responsible for specific mRNA codon recognition, and the 3' end, to which the tRNAs corresponding amino acid is attached (by aminoacyl-tRNA synthetases). tRNAs cope with the degeneracy of the genetic code in two manners: having more than one tRNA (with a specific anti-codon) for a particular amino acid; and 'wobble' base-pairing, i.e. permitting non-standard base-pairing at the 3rd anti-codon position. The record is from RNAcentral. Lineage: Archaea; Nanobdellati.
GCACCAAUCGUAUAAUGGCUAGUACACAUCCCUGUCGCGGAUGAGAUCCGGGUUCGAUUCCCGGUUGGUGCG